AGCAACGCCGCGUGGGUGAAGAAGCAUCUUGGUGUGUAAAGCCCUGUCAACAGGGAAUAAGGUCAUGUGUUGAAUAUUCGCAUGAAUUGAAUGUACCUGUGGAGGAAGCCCCGGCUAACUCCGUGCCAGCCACCUCGGUGACUGAGCGGGCUGGCAAGGCGCAUA
This 165-nucleotide ribosomal RNA is filed under the name uncultured bacterium. RNAcentral's name for it is "partial 16S ribosomal RNA". It matches the Rfam family "Bacterial small subunit ribosomal RNA", at positions 390 to 539 of the family's 1533-position model. The record is from RNAcentral.